AGUGAACGCUGGCGGUAGGCCUAACACAUGCAAGUCGAACGGCAGCACAGUAAGAGCUUGCUCUUACGGGUGGCGAGUCGCGGACGGGUGAGGAAUACAUCGGAAUCUACUUUUUCGUGGGGGAUAACGUAGGGAAACUUACGCUAAUACCGCAUACGACCUACGGGUGAAAGCAGGGGAUCUUCGGACCUUGCGCGAUUGAAUGAGCCGAUGUCGGAUCAGCUAGUUGGCGGGGUAAAGGCCCACCAAGGCGACGAUCCGUAGCUGGUCUGAGAGGAUGAUCAGCCACACUGGAACUGAGACACGGUCCAGACUCCUACGGGAGGCAGCAGUGGGGAAUAUUGGACAAUGGGCGCAAGCCUGAUCCAGCCAUACCGCGUGGGUGAAGAAGGCCUUCGGGUUGUAAAGCCCUUUUGUUGGGAAAGAAAAGCAGCAGGUUAAUACCCCGCUGUUCUGACGGUACCCAAAGGAUAAGCACCGGCUAACUUCGUG
This 492-nucleotide ribosomal RNA is filed under the name uncultured bacterium. RNAcentral describes it as "partial 16S ribosomal RNA". It matches the Rfam family "Bacterial small subunit ribosomal RNA", at positions 29 to 507 of the family's 1533-position model. The record is from RNAcentral.